ACGGGUGUGGCUCAAUUGGUAGAGCGGCGGUCUCCAAAACCGUAGGUUGCGGGUUCGACUCCUGCCACCCGUG
RNAcentral lists this transfer RNA (73 nucleotides) under Chlorobiota bacterium. Its description in RNAcentral is "Chlorobi bacterium tRNA-Trp". It matches the Rfam family "tRNA". Rfam says of the family: Transfer RNA (tRNA) molecules are approximately 80 nucleotides in length. Their secondary structure includes four short double-helical elements and three loops (D, anti-codon, and T loops). Further hydrogen bonds mediate the characteristic L-shaped molecular structure. tRNAs have two regions of fundamental functional importance: the anti-codon, which is responsible for specific mRNA codon recognition, and the 3' end, to which the tRNAs corresponding amino acid is attached (by aminoacyl-tRNA synthetases). tRNAs cope with the degeneracy of the genetic code in two manners: having more than one tRNA (with a specific anti-codon) for a particular amino acid; and 'wobble' base-pairing, i.e. permitting non-standard base-pairing at the 3rd anti-codon position. The record is from RNAcentral. Lineage: Bacteria; Pseudomonadati; Chlorobiota. RNAcentral also lists the same sequence under 1 other name.